AUUGAACGCUGGCGGUAUGCUUAACACAUGCAAGUCGAACGGUAACAGGCCUUCGGGCGCUGACGAGUGGCGGACGGGUGAGUAACGCGUAGGAAUCUGCCUUAUAGUGGGGGACAACGUGGGGAAACCCACGCUAAUACCGCAUACGCCCUACGGGGGAAAGGAGGGACUCGCAAGAGCCUUUCGCUAAUAGAUGAGCCUGCGUUAGAUUAGCUAGUUGGUGGGGUAAAGGCCUACCAAGGCGACGAUCUAUAGCUGUUCUGAGAGGAAGAUCAGCCACACUGGGACUGAGACACGGCCCAGACUCCUACGGGUGGCUG
RNAcentral lists this ribosomal RNA (320 nucleotides) under uncultured Pseudomonadota bacterium. RNAcentral's name for it is "bacterial SSU rRNA". It matches the Rfam family "Bacterial small subunit ribosomal RNA", at positions 30 to 351 of the family's 1533-position model. Lineage: Bacteria; Pseudomonadati; Pseudomonadota. The record is from RNAcentral.